Molecule: ribosomal RNA, 425 nt
Filed under: uncultured Clostridium sp.
Lineage: Bacteria; Bacillati; Bacillota; Clostridia; Eubacteriales; Clostridiaceae
Description: bacterial SSU rRNA
Rfam family: Bacterial small subunit ribosomal RNA
Source: RNAcentral
UGGGGAAUAUUGGGCAAUGGGGGAAACCCUGACCCAGCAACGCCGCGUGAAGGAAGAAGGCCUUCGGGUUGUAAACUUCUUUUACCAGGGACGAAGGACGUGACGGUACCUGGAGAAAAAGCAACGGCUAACUACGUGCCAGCAGCCGCGGUAAUACGUAGGUUGCAAGCGUUGUCCGGAUUUACUGGGUGUAAAGGGCGUGUAGGCGGAGGAGCAAGUCAGAUGUGAAAUCCCGGGGCUUAACCCCGGAACUGCAUUUGAAACUGUUUCCCUUGAGUAUCGGAGAGGCAAGCGGAAUUCCUAGUGUAGCGGUGAAAUGCGUAGAUAUUAGGAGGAACACCAGUGGCGAAGGCGACUUUCUGGACGACAACUGACGCUGAGGCGCGAAAGCGUGGGGAGCAAACAGGAUUAGAUACCCUGGUAGU